RNAcentral lists this ribosomal RNA (468 nucleotides) under uncultured bacterium. Its description in RNAcentral is "partial 16S ribosomal RNA". It matches the Rfam family "Bacterial small subunit ribosomal RNA", at positions 28 to 507 of the family's 1533-position model. The record is from RNAcentral.
GACGAACGCUGGCGGCGUGCUUAACACAUGCAAGUCGAACGGAAAGGCCCUGCUUUUGUGGGGUGCUCGAGUGGCGAACGGGUGAGUAACACGUGAGUAACCUGCCCUUGACUUUGGGAUAACUUCAGGAAACUGGGGCUAAUACCGGAUAGGAGCUCCUGCUGCAUGGUGGGGGUUGGAAAGUUUCGGCGGUUGGGGAUGGACUCGCGGCUUAUCAGCUUGUUGGUGGGGUAGUGGCUUACCAAGGCUUUGACGGGUAGCCGGCCUGAGAGGGUGACCGGCCACGUUGGGACUGAGAUACGGCCCAGACUCCUACGGGAGGCAGCAGUGGGGAAUAUUGCACAAUGGGCGGAAGCCUGAUGCAGCAACGCAGCGUGCGGGAUGACGGCCUUCGGGUUGUAAACCGCUUUCGCCUGUGACGAAGCGUGAGUGACGGUAAUGGGUAAAGAAGCACCGGCUAACGACGUG